CAGCCGCCACGGUAAUACGUAGGGUGCGAGCGUUAAUCGGAUUUACUGGGCGUAAAGCGUGCGCAGGCGGCCCGUUAAGACAGGUGUGAAAUCCCUGGGCUCAACCUAGGAAUUGCGCUUGUGACUGGCGGGCUCGAGUACGGUAGAGGGGGGUGGAAUUCCUGGUGUAGCAGUGAAAUGCGUAGAGAUCAGGAGGAACACCGAUGGCGAAGGCAGCCCCCUGGGCCUGUACUGACGCUCAUGCACGAAAGCGUGGGGAGCAAACAGGAUUAGAUACCCUGGUAGUCCACGCCCUAAACGAUGGGUACUAGCCGUUUGGUGCGCGAUAGCGCUGAGUGGCGAAGCUAACGCGAGAAGUACCCCGCCUGGGGAGUACGGCCGCAAGGUUGAAACUUAAGGAAUUGGCGGG
RNAcentral lists this ribosomal RNA (409 nucleotides) under uncultured microorganism. RNAcentral describes it as "bacterial SSU rRNA". It matches the Rfam family "Bacterial small subunit ribosomal RNA", at positions 509 to 917 of the family's 1533-position model. The record is from RNAcentral.